Molecule: long non-coding RNA, 1223 nt
Organism: Heterocephalus glaber (naked mole-rat)
Lineage: Eukaryota; Metazoa; Chordata; Mammalia; Rodentia; Bathyergidae
Source: Ensembl
AACUGGCCGGGCAGCUGCGCCGGGAACUAUUUGUGUCAGUCCCGGAGGGGCCGCGGAAGGCGUGGCAGAGGCAGUGCGCGCCCAGCCUGGGGCAGGCGGGGACCGCGACACAGAGGCGCUUUCAGGCCCUACCCGGGCUCGCGAGCCCCGCUCCCCUCGCCGGGGCCGCCCGGCUUUGUGCUGUUUAUACCCUGUCCUGCGGAAACCCGAAGACAGCGCUGUUCCGGGCGGCCCAGGCCCGGCGCCACCCUCGCUGGCACACAGUGGGCACGCGGCCCGGCGCUCCCGGGGACCGAGCCCCGGCUGGACUCUGCGGUGGGGCCCUCGGUCGUGGGCUGCUGGUGACUCCAGGACCUCGGGCCCCAGUGCAGGGACACAGGGAGGGCCCCUCCCUACAGAAAGGAGGGAAGGGCGGUGCAGGACGCAGCCAUGCCCACAAAAGGUGGCCUGCGAGACAGUGACAGAGGCGGGGACAUCAGGCAGGAGCAGGAUAAGGUUCAAGCCUGCAAUGGAAGGAGUACGUUUGCAGGUUCGCUGACUCCCGUCACGGAAACAGUGUUCAGGUUUGUUAGAGAUGGAGAUGCAGGAUGCGCUGAAGAGCAGAGCGCAGACUGAGCAGUGAAGCAGUUUUUAUUUCUUCUGUCCUACAUCAUUACCACCAAAAACUAGAAGAAGAAGGAGGGGCAGGGGGUUAAGAAAGGAGGGGAAAUGAAGUCCUCAUCCAGCCAGUGUCCCUGUGGCAUCCUCUACAAAGUACUACUAAUGACAGAGGUGGGAGCUUCGAGGGCAAAUGAGACAGCAUGGAAGAACCACUUACUCAGGAGAGGCAGUACUGAUACCCUGAGAAACCAGUCAGGAAACUGAGGCAGGAGAAGUUAAGGCAGAGGUUCAACUGGACACCACCCAGGCAGCUUGGCUCCGGAACCUGCUCUGAGCCUGCGCCAUCACAGAACGGGUCCAUCAGUGACCACAGUCGGGGGAGACCAGGAGGAAGGGGACUGAAGCUGGGGUGGCUGUCCUGGGGAGCAGCCCCAUCUGUAACGGUGCCCUCUGGCCCAGGGCCCACUCUGUAGCUGAUAAAAUUGUUUUAUGGGUCGUUUUUAAUUACAGCCCUCAAGCCAGACAUUUAUGACAAUCAAUCAUCACCUUGCUCCAGAAGGCCCAGGCGUGUGUAGUUUCCCGCCUUCUUCCAUCGUGUCUGUUGCUUGUCCUUGUGGGCAGCC